AAUCCUUGCGGCCGAAUAUCCAAGGUUUCCAGAGUAAAGCUGAUCUGCUCUGGGUAAGUCGGGGCCUAAGGAGAGGCAGAGAUGCGUAUCCGAUGGACAGCAGGUUUAAGAUUCCUGCACCCCUUGUUAUCAGAACUGCGGGGACACGGGAAGGGAAGCAGAGCCGGGAAUGGAAAGCCCGGUGCAAGCGAAGUAGUCGCAGGGUUGGAAAAUCCGCCCUGCAUGAGACGAAGGCGUGAUGCGGAGCGAAAUGAAGUAGUGAAGCUGCGGCCCCUUCCUGUCGAGAAAAGCCGCUAUCGUGUAGCAAGGGCCCGUACCGUAAACCGACACAGGUGGAUGAGGAGAGGAUCCUAAGGCCGGCGGGAGAAGUGUUGUUAAGGAACUCGGCAAAAUGACUCCGUAACUUCGGGAGAAGGAGUGCUGCGCAAGCAGCCGCAGAGAAAUGGCCCAAGCAACUGUUUAGCAAAAACACAGGUCUAUGCGAAACCGAAAGGUGAGGUAUAUGGGCUGACGCCUGCCCGGUGCUGGAAGGUUAAGGGGAGAGGUUAGCGCAAGCGAAGCUUUGAACUUAAGCCCCAGUAAACGGCGGCCGUAACUAUAACGGUCCUAAGGUAGCGAAAUUCCUUGUCGGGUAAGUUCCGACCCGCACGAAAGGCGUAAUGAUUUGGGCACUGUCUCAACAACACACCCGGUGAAAUUGAAAUACCAGUGAAGAUGCUGGUUACCCGCGCCAGGACGGAAAGACCCCAUGGAGCUUUACUCCAGCCUGAUACUGGGAUUCGGUAUUGCAUGUACAGGAUAGGUGGGAGGCUAAGAACUCAUGGCGCCAGCCGUGAGGGAGCCGGUGUUGGGAUACCACCCCUGCAGUACUGGGUUUCUAACCUGCGCCCGUGACCCGGGCGGGGGACAAUGUCAGGCGGGGAGUUUGACUGGGGCGGUCGCCUCCGAAAGGGUAUCGGAGGCGCUCAAAGGUCUCCUCAGGAUGGUUGGAAACCAUCCAGAGAGUGCAAAGGCAGAAGGAGGCUUGACUGCGACACCGACGGGUGGAGCAGGUACGAAAGUAGGACUUAGUGAUCCGGUGGUAUAAAGUGGGAUUGCCAUCGCUCAACGGAUAAAAGCUACCCUGGGGAUAACAGGCUUAUCACUCCCAAGAGUUCACAUCGACGGAGUGGUUUGGCACCUCGAUGUCGGCUCAUCGCAUCCUGGAGCUGGAGCAGGUUCCAAGGGUUGGGCUGUUCGCCCAUUAAAGCGGUACGCGAGCUGGGUUCAGAACGUCGUGAGACAGUUCGGUCCCUAUCCGGCGCGGGCGCAGGAUAUCUGAGAGGAGCUGUCCUUAGUACGAGAGGACCGGGAUGGACCGUCCGCUGGUGGACCGGUUGUCAUGCCAAUGGCACGGCCGGGUAGCCAAGACGGGAAGGGAUAAACGCUGAAGGCAUCUAAGCGUGAAGCCCCCCUCAAGAUGAGAUAUCCAUACUCGAAAGAGUGAGAGACCCCUUAGAGACGAUGAGGUAGAUAGGGCAGAGAUGGAAGCACAGCGAUGUGUGGAGUUGACUGUUACUAAUCGGUCGAAAGCUUGACCU
RNAcentral lists this ribosomal RNA (1580 nucleotides) under human gut metagenome. Its description in RNAcentral is "bacterial LSU rRNA". It matches the Rfam family "Bacterial large subunit ribosomal RNA", at positions 1326 to 2925 of the family's 2925-position model. The record is from RNAcentral.